AACGAACGCUGGCGGCAUGCCUAACACAUGCAAGUCGAACGCUAUCUUUGAUAGAGUGGCGCACGGGUGAGUAACGCGUGGGAACCUGCCUUUCACUGCGGGACAACGGUUGGAAACGACCGCUAAUACCGCAUACGCCCUACGGGGGAAAGAUUUAUCGGUGAUAGAGGGGCCCGCGUCUGAUUAGCUUGUUGGUAGGGUAAUGGCCUACCAAGGCGACGAUCGGUAGCUGGUCUGAGAGGAUGAUCAGCCACACUGGGACUGAGACACGGCCCAGACUCCUACGGGAGGCAGCAGUGGGGAAUAUUGGACAAUGGGGGCAACCCUGAUCCAGCAAUGCCGCGUGUGUGAUGAAGGCCUUAGGGUUGUAAAGCACUUUCACUGGUGAAGAUGAUGACGGUAACCUGAGAAGAAGCCCCGGCUAACUUCGUGCCGGCU
Molecule: ribosomal RNA, 438 nt
Filed under: uncultured bacterium
Lineage: Bacteria
Description: bacterial SSU rRNA
Rfam family: Bacterial small subunit ribosomal RNA
Source: RNAcentral